AUUGAACGCUGGCGGCAGGCCUAACACAUGCAAGUCGAGCGGAUGAAGGGAGCUUGCUCCUGGAUUCAGCGGCGGACGGGUGAGUAAUGCCUAGGAAUCUGCCUGGUAGUGGGGGAUAACGUCCGGAAACGGGCGCUAAUACCGCAUACGUCCUGAGGGAGAAAGUGGGGGAUCUUCGGACCUCACGCUAUCAGAUGAGCCUAGGUCGGAUUAGCUAGUUGGUGGGGUAAAGGCCUACCAAGGCGACGAUCCGUAACUGGUCUGAGAGGAUGAUCAGUCACACUGGAACUGAGACACGGUCCAGACUCCUACGGGAGGCAGCAGUGGGGAAUAUUGGACAAUGGGCGAAAGCCUGAUCCAGCCAUGCCGCGUGUGUGAAGAGGGUCUUCGGAUUGUAAAGCACUUUAAGUUGGGAGGAAGGGCAGUAAGUUAAUACCUUGCUGUUUUGACGGUACCAACAGAAUAAGCACCGGCUAACUUCGUG
RNAcentral lists this ribosomal RNA (484 nucleotides) under uncultured bacterium. Its description in RNAcentral is "partial 16S ribosomal RNA". It matches the Rfam family "Bacterial small subunit ribosomal RNA", at positions 30 to 507 of the family's 1533-position model. The record is from RNAcentral.